RNAcentral lists this long non-coding RNA (1080 nucleotides) under Sus scrofa (pig). RNAcentral describes it as "lncRNA (ENSSSCG00035011237.1)". The record is from RNAcentral. Lineage: Eukaryota; Metazoa; Chordata; Mammalia; Artiodactyla; Suidae.
UUUUUAUACCAAACCAUGCCAUUCCAACCAGGUCUUCCCUCAAUCAAAAUGUAAUCAUUUGUUCGAAUAUUUAGUAAGUGUUUAUGCUAAACACUGUGCAGGUGACAAAACAAACUGCCAUGCCUUUUGCCUUAUGGCACGAUGACCCUGGCAGAGGACACAAAAAAAAAUCUGAAAAUGUAACUUUCUUACAGAGCAUGAAGGAGAGCUGUGUGCAAUGAGCACACAUCAUGAAAAGACUGGACUUUCGAGAUUCACAGAUGACCUGUAUGUUCUGGUCUCCUUUUGGAACAGGGAUCACACGACUGCAGAACAGAGUAAACCAGGGAUGAAGGAGAAGGAGAGUUGGCUGAGCAAGCGGGAAACCAAGAAGUAGAAGCAGUUCGUUCAGGCAAGGAGGGAGGAUGAGGGAGGUGGUAGUCAGUCAACUUCCAGGAGGUCAGGCUCUAAGAUGUGAAGGGGGAGGGUAAAGCAGGAGUUGGAGGGCUUGGAAGAAAGUCCAAGAGGUCUGCACAGAGCCAGAUAUGAAACCACAAGAUGAGGACACCCAUGGGACCAAGAGGGUCACCAUAUGAAAAUCUAGGGUGAGUCCUAUUUAAACUCCGUUAUUUUUACAUUGUCCCCUGAUAAAGAAGCGAGCUUUGUCAGCAGCCAGUCACAUUACAACUAUGUACCCAGCAACAACCAGUGUUUCAAUAUCAGCAACAACCCAGCACCUCUCUAGGAAAACAACUCAUGGCAAACUGGCAUUGCCACCAUAAGGACGGGCUUCUUCUUAAACUCAGUCCCUCAGUAUUAUCAGCUUGUAAGAGCCAGAUUGCUUGCAAACUGUUCUCUAGUAUACUUCCAAUUAGAGGAAGCUUUGAAAUGUGAACCAUGACCCCUAGGCAGAUGAUAUUAACAGGUUAUUCCCAACUCUCACAAAGAAUGAGCUUUGCAACCUAAUUUGUGCAGCAAUUAAAUUCAGACUAAAACAUAAUUUUAUUUUAUUGCUCAGUACUUGCCUGCAUUUUUUUAAGCCAGUAAUUGCAGGAAGGAGUUAAUUUGAUAAUAUAAAUAAAAACUGGCCCCCAAAGGGCA